RNAcentral lists this long non-coding RNA (257 nucleotides) under Bos indicus x Bos taurus (hybrid cattle). RNAcentral describes it as "lncRNA (ENSBIXG00000013467.1)". Lineage: Eukaryota; Metazoa; Chordata; Mammalia; Artiodactyla; Bovidae. The record is from RNAcentral.
CCAGCUUUCUCCAGUGGUGAAUAAAUCAGCAGGGCCAGCCAGGUGGUUCCUUUAAUAAAAGGCUUAGAGAGACCCCGUGUCCUGAUCUUUUCCAAAUUCCUGGAGUUUCCCAAGAUCUCCAGAGGGAGACAGUCACUUCAGCAUCAGCCAGAACGGACACCAGGCAAGAAGAAUCAUAAAUUAACAGCAGGAAGGCAGUCUUGGGGCUGAUGGGGGAACACCAUUGUGUAUGCAUGCAUGCACAUGUGUGUGUCUGU